AUUCUUAAAUCAUCAAUGCAAACUAUUUAGAUUAUGACUCAGUAAUCACCUUGUUGGGUUUAGGGAGUCUCAAUAGGGAUUUAGAUGGAUUAGUAGAUCGAAAACCCCUUAGGAUUAU
RNAcentral lists this small RNA (118 nucleotides) under Arabidopsis thaliana (thale cress). RNAcentral's name for it is "ATSL205150". The record is from RNAcentral. Lineage: Eukaryota; Viridiplantae; Streptophyta; Magnoliopsida; Brassicales; Brassicaceae.